This 324-nucleotide ribosomal RNA is filed under the name uncultured eukaryote. RNAcentral's name for it is "partial 18S ribosomal RNA". It matches the Rfam family "Eukaryotic small subunit ribosomal RNA", at positions 1470 to 1796 of the family's 1831-position model. The record is from RNAcentral.
CCCUUAGAUGUCCUGGGCUGCACGCGCGCUACACUGAUGUGUCCAGUAAGCACCUAACCUAUUCCGAGAGGAGCGGGUAACCUUAGCAAAGCACAUCGUGAUGGGGGUAGAUUAUUGCAAUUAUUAGUCUUGAACGAGGAAUUCCUAGUAAGCACAAGUCAUCAGCUUGUGUUGAUUACGUCCCUGCCCUUUGUACACACCGCCCGUCGCUCCUACCGAUUGAAUGUUCCGGUGAGCUCUUCGGACUGCGCGGUCUGCAGUUUCUGCGUUCCGUGCGGAAAGUUGUGCAAACCUUAACAUUUAGAGGAAGGAGAAGUCGUAACA